This 299-nucleotide long non-coding RNA is filed under the name Malus domestica (apple). RNAcentral describes it as "long non-coding RNA (MDOM_LNC004343)". The record is from RNAcentral. Lineage: Eukaryota; Viridiplantae; Streptophyta; Magnoliopsida; Rosales; Rosaceae.
GAAGCUUUGAUGGUGAAGCUUUGUAGAUGAAGCUUUGUAGAUGAAGCUUUCUAGGUGAAGCUUUGAUGGUGAAACUUUGUAGAUGAAGCUUUCUAGGUGAAGCUUUGAUGGUGAAGCUUUGUAGAUGAAGCUUUCUAGGUGAAGCUUUUUUAGGUGAAGCUUUGUAGGUGAAGCUUUUUUAAGUGAAGCUUUUCGGGUGAAGUUUUUUUUUUUUGUGAAGCUUUGUGGGUGAAGCUUUUUAGGUGAAGCUUUGUGGGUGAAGCUUUGGAGGUGAAGCUUUUCGGGUGAAGCUUUUUGGA